Felis catus (domestic cat) is the source of this 958-nucleotide long non-coding RNA. RefSeq lists it as uncharacterized. NCBI's taxonomy places the organism in Eukaryota, Metazoa, Chordata, Mammalia, Carnivora, Felidae. The transcript has 3 exons. The record is from RefSeq and is a predicted model, not a curated record.
CAGAGCUCCUAGCAGGGGUCAAUAGACAAACCUUCUUGCCCUUGCACACCUUAUCACAUGUGACUUUUCUCUUCCAAUCUCCUCUCUGGCCAAAAUGAUCAGUUUGUUCAGCAGUCAUGUGCUGAGAGUCUACUUUGCACCAGGCACCGUGACCUUUAUCUCCACAGCCCUGGGAAGUUGAUGCCUUUAAGCUCAUUUGAUUCAAGAGGCCACUGUGGCUUGGAGAGAGAAUAAGGGUUAGAAGGCUACCAGCCGGUAGAGCCAGGAGUUGAUGCUGGGUCUUCAAGAACUAAUGGGAACCCCAUUCCAUGGGCUUCCGUGGAUGGUUUCUCUGCCUGGAAUGUCCUCCCACCUCUUCUCUUUUCUGGAUCAUUCAGGGUCUCAUUCCUUCUGUUGCCUCCAGAACACCUUCCGAAUCAGUGAGGACACUUGUGGUUGCGUGUGAAUCACUGCGAAAGUCGAGGCUCUAGGUUGAGCUUUUAGGAGCGUCCCCGUAAGUCACAUUGAGGACUGUGUCUUCUGUAUCUUCUGCAAGAGACCAAGAGAGCAGCUGUGUCUUCUGCAUUCAGAAGACACCCCAGUCGUGAAACCCUCUUCCAGCAGCUCCAGAAGCACGGUGUGCCUGACAUGAUCCAGGCACACUGGGUGCCCACGUCCUUCCUCUCAACACCCACCAAGCCAGCACCUGGACCCUUGAGUUUUGCUGACACCAUUGAGAAAAUGUCAACCUACUGAAAAAUUAGAAGAGGAAUACAAUGAGCACCUAUGAACGUUUCACCUAGAUUCGUCAACCAUUGACAUUUUGCCACAUUUGCUUUCUUUCCCUCUCUCUUACAGGAAGUUAGUUGCAAGUUUGCUGACGAUUUCCUCUGACCAGAUGAGCUAUUAUCUCACAAAAGCAAGGACGGUCUCCUCUAUUAUCACUAUUAUCACACUCAAUAAAUUUAAAUUGAUGCAA